This 94-nucleotide transfer RNA is filed under the name Eutypa lata UCREL1. It matches the Rfam family "tRNA". Rfam says of the family: Transfer RNA (tRNA) molecules are approximately 80 nucleotides in length. Their secondary structure includes four short double-helical elements and three loops (D, anti-codon, and T loops). The record is from Rfam by way of RNAcentral. Lineage: Eukaryota; Fungi; Ascomycota; Sordariomycetes; Xylariales; Diatrypaceae.
GGCACUUUGGCGGAGUGGUUAACGCGAUGCCCUGCUAGUUUUAAACAGGAAGGCAUUCCCUUCGGGGGCGUGUGUUCGAAUCACACAGGUGUCG